This 600-nucleotide ribosomal RNA is filed under the name Sciaphyes sibiricus. RNAcentral's name for it is "SSU rRNA". It matches the Rfam family "Eukaryotic small subunit ribosomal RNA", at positions 22 to 602 of the family's 1831-position model. The record is from RNAcentral. Lineage: Eukaryota; Metazoa; Arthropoda; Insecta; Coleoptera; Leiodidae.
AGUCAUAUGCUUGUCUCAAAGAUUAAGCCAUGCAUGUCUCAGUACAAGCCAAAUUAAGGUGAAACCGCGAAAGGCUCAUUAAAUCAGUUAUGGUUCCUUAGAUCGUACACACAUUUACUUGGAUAACUGUGGUAAUUCUAGAGCUAAUACAUGCCAACAGAACUCUGACCGGGAACGGAAAGAGUGCUUUUAUUAGAUCAAAACCAAUCGGUGGCGAGCUUGCUCGUCAUCGUACAACUUGGUGACUCUGAAUAACUUUUGCUGAUCGCACGGUCUCGCACCGGCGACGCAUCUUUCAAAUGUCUGCCUUAUCAACUGUCGAUGGUAGGUUCUGCGCCUACCAUGGUUGUAACGGGUAACGGGGAAUCAGGGUUCGAUUCCGGAGAGGGAGCCUGAGAAACGGCUACCACAUCCAAGGAAGGCAGCAGGCGCGCAAAUUACCCACUCCCGGCACGGGGAGGUAGUGACGAAAAAUAACGAUACGGGACUCAUCCGAGGCCCCGUAAUCGGAAUGAGUACACUCUAAAGCCUUUAACGAGGAUCAAUUGGAGGGAAAGUCUGGUGCCAGCAGCCGCGGUAAUUCCAGCUCCAAUAGCGUAU